UACGGAGGGUGCAAGCGUUAUCCGGAUUUAUUGGGUUUAAAGGGUACGUAGGCGGUGGAGUAAGUCAGUGGUGAAAGCCAACAGCUCAACUGUUGAACUGCCAUUGAUACUGCUUCACUUGAGUGCAGUUGAGGUGGGUGGAAUUCCAUGUGUAACGGUGAAAUGCUUAGAUAUAUGGAGGAACACCGAUAACGAAGGUAACUCACUAAACUGUAACUGACGCUGAGGUACGAAAGCGUGGGGAGCAAACGGG
Molecule: ribosomal RNA, 253 nt
Filed under: uncultured bacterium
Lineage: Bacteria
Description: partial 16S ribosomal RNA
Rfam family: Bacterial small subunit ribosomal RNA
Source: RNAcentral